UCAUCGGAUCUCGACAAUCACACCGCAAAAGAUUAUUACAUCGGAUAGAUCUCCACGAAGAUCAUGAAGAACAUGGUAUUGAAGAUCAAAGAGAGAGAAGAAGCCAUCUAGCUACUAGCAAUGGACCCGUAGGUCUGUGGUGAACUACUCACGUAUCAUCGGAGGGGCAAUGGAGUAGAUGUAGAUGCCCUCCAUGAUCAAUUCCCUCUCAGGCAGAUUAUCAGAGAAGACUCCCAGAUUGGAUCUCACGGGAAGAGAGGCUCUCGGCGGAGGAAAAGUAUUUUCGUGGCUCUUUUUUGCGAUGGGGCGAUAUUUGGGAAUUUAUAGGCCGAAGAAUAUGUUUAGGAG
RNAcentral lists this long non-coding RNA (348 nucleotides) under Hordeum vulgare. RNAcentral's name for it is "long non-coding RNA (HVUL_LNC008906)". Lineage: Eukaryota; Viridiplantae; Streptophyta; Magnoliopsida; Poales; Poaceae. The record is from RNAcentral.